CUCCCAUAGAGGCAAGUGAAGUUGGUGAGCCGUAUGAUGGGCAACUAUCUCCUGCGGUUCGGAGAGGACUCAGCUGUUAGUUAGUACCCCCUUGGUUUCGGGGUGGACCUUUUCACUCUAUUUUAUUAUAUACGCUUAGCGAAAAGAAUGUUUUUUGAUACACCUAGGACAUGGAUUCUAUAUGAACCAAUGGAUCUAGCUCUUAGUUAGUACCCCCUUGGUUUCGGGGAGGACCUUUUCGCUCUAUUUUAUUAUAUACACUAAGCGAAGAGGAUGUUUUUUGAUACACCUAGGACAUGGAUUCUAUAUGAACCAAUGGAUCGUGACAAGUCGUUANNNN
This 340-nucleotide long non-coding RNA is filed under the name Nicotiana benthamiana. Lineage: Eukaryota; Viridiplantae; Streptophyta; Magnoliopsida; Solanales; Solanaceae. The record is from RNAcentral.